GAUGAACGCUGGCGGCGUGCCUAAUACAUGCAAGUCGAGCGAGCAGACCAGGACCUGUGGCGCCUGAGUUCGUCAGCCGUCGGGACCUGAACAUGGGGAUGACCUACCUACCAGACUGGGGUAACAAUGCGGAACCGUGUCUAAGACCCAAUGAUAUAUUGCACCUGGAGGGGCAGGCGUUGGAUUAGAUAGUUGGUAGGGUAAUAGCCUACCAAGGCGACGAUUCAUAGCUGGUCUGAGAGGAUGAUCAGCAACACUGGGACUGAGACACGGCCCAGACUCCUACGGGAGGCAGCAGUGGGGAAUAUUGGACAAUGGGCGAAAGCCUGAUCCAGCAAUGCCGCGUGAGUGAUGAAGGCCUUAGGGUUGUAAAGCUCUUUUACCCGGGAUGAUAAUGACAGUACCGGGAGAAUAAGCUCCGGCUAACUCCGUG
This 433-nucleotide ribosomal RNA is filed under the name uncultured bacterium. Its description in RNAcentral is "partial 16S ribosomal RNA". It matches the Rfam family "Bacterial small subunit ribosomal RNA", at positions 28 to 507 of the family's 1533-position model. The record is from RNAcentral.